CUACGGGUUGCUCCAGUGGGGAAUCUUAGACAAUGGGCGCAAGCCUGAUCUAGCCAUGCCGCGUGAGUGACGAAGGCCUUAGGGUCGUAAAGCUCUUUCGCUGGGGAAGAUAAUGACGGUACCCAGUAAAGAAACCCCGGCUAACUCCGUGCCAGCAGCCGCGGUAAUACGGAGGGGGUUAGCGUUGUUCGGAAUUACUGGGCGUAAAGCGCGCGUAGGCGGAUCAGAAAGUUGGGGGUGAAAUCCCGGGGCUCAACCCCGGAACUGCCUUCAAAACUCCUGGUCUUGAGUUCGAGAGAGGGGAGUGGAAUUCCGAGUGUAGAGGUGAAAUUCGUAGAUAUUCGGAGGAACACCAGUGGCGAAGGCGGCUCACUGGCUCGAUACUGACGCUGAGGUGCGAAAGCGUGGGGAGCAAACAGGAUUAGAUACCCCGGUAGUC
Molecule: ribosomal RNA, 439 nt
Filed under: uncultured bacterium
Lineage: Bacteria
Description: partial 16S ribosomal RNA
Rfam family: Bacterial small subunit ribosomal RNA
Source: RNAcentral